CGCUAAGAAGCUAAAUAGGGCAUAAGCGUUAGCCUUUUAAGCUAAAGAUAGGUGUUUCCCAUCCACCCCUAGCGA
RNAcentral lists this transfer RNA (75 nucleotides) under Hyporhamphus intermedius. Its description in RNAcentral is "tRNA-Lys". It matches the Rfam family "tRNA". Rfam says of the family: Transfer RNA (tRNA) molecules are approximately 80 nucleotides in length. Their secondary structure includes four short double-helical elements and three loops (D, anti-codon, and T loops). Further hydrogen bonds mediate the characteristic L-shaped molecular structure. tRNAs have two regions of fundamental functional importance: the anti-codon, which is responsible for specific mRNA codon recognition, and the 3' end, to which the tRNAs corresponding amino acid is attached (by aminoacyl-tRNA synthetases). tRNAs cope with the degeneracy of the genetic code in two manners: having more than one tRNA (with a specific anti-codon) for a particular amino acid; and 'wobble' base-pairing, i.e. permitting non-standard base-pairing at the 3rd anti-codon position. The record is from RNAcentral. Lineage: Eukaryota; Metazoa; Chordata; Actinopteri; Beloniformes; Hemiramphidae.